CCCGGCGACCGGCGCACGGGUGAGUAACACGUAUGAAACCUGCCCGUAGCAGGGGGAUAAGCGGAAGAAAUUCCGUCUAAUACCGCGUAGCAACCCGAGGAGGCAUCUCCUCGGGUUUAAAGGAAGCGAUUCCGGCUACGGAUGGGCUCGCGUCUGAUUAGCUGGUUGGUGAGGUAACGGCUCACCAAGGCGACGAUCAGUAGCCGUACUGAGAGGUAGAACGGCCACAUUGGGACUGAGACACGGCCCAGACCCCUACGGAAGGCAGCAG
Molecule: ribosomal RNA, 271 nt
Filed under: uncultured bacterium
Lineage: Bacteria
Description: partial 16S ribosomal RNA
Rfam family: Bacterial small subunit ribosomal RNA
Source: RNAcentral